GAUCGUUUUUAGUUCGCGUUGCUUAGCGAUUUUUGUAAACAAAACAGCUAUUUAAAAUGGAGAAUCAAUUGAAGAUAGUACAAAAUGAAACCAACUCUUUAAUUCAUGUAUAUUUGAUGCACAUGACUGGUAUAUGGUUGCUGUACAACAGACUUAGAAGUAGAAGAAAAAGAACGAAAUACACAAGAUCAAUAUUGGCGCAAAGAAGACGACAAGGAGACUAUGCAAAUCUUGUGCAGGAAAUGAGACUUGAUCCAGAAUAUCACAUUCUAUACUUUCGUAUGUCACGGGAGCAUUUUGAAAAGUUGGCAAGAAAAGUAUGUCCCCU
RNAcentral lists this long non-coding RNA (328 nucleotides) under Mytilus galloprovincialis (Mediterranean mussel). Lineage: Eukaryota; Metazoa; Mollusca; Bivalvia; Mytilida; Mytilidae. The record is from RNAcentral.